GAUGAACGCUGGCGGCGUGCUUAACACAUGCAAGUCGAACGAAGCACCUUGAUUUGAUUCUUCGGAUGAAGAUCUUGGUGACUGAGUGGCGGACGGGUGAGUAACGCGUGGGUAACCUGCCUCAUACAGGGGGAUAACAGUUAGAAAUGACUGCUAAUACCGCAUAAGACCACAGCACCGCAUGGUGCAGGGGUAAAAACUCCGGUGGUAUGAGAUGGACCCGCGUCUGAUUAGGUAGUUGGUGGGGUAACGGCCUACCAAGCCGACGAUCAGGAGCCGACCUGAGAGGGUGACCGGCCACAUUGGGACUGAGGCACGGCCCAAACUCCUACGGGAGGCAGCAGUGGGGAAUAUUGCACAAUGGGGGAAACCCUGAUGCAGCGACGCCGCGUGAGCGAUGAAGUAUUUCGGUAUGUAAAGCUCUAUCAGCAGGGAAGAAAAUGACGGUACCUGACUAAGAAGCACCGGCUAAAUACGUGCCAGCAGCCGCAGUAA
RNAcentral lists this ribosomal RNA (495 nucleotides) under uncultured bacterium. Its description in RNAcentral is "partial 16S ribosomal RNA". It matches the Rfam family "Bacterial small subunit ribosomal RNA", at positions 28 to 523 of the family's 1533-position model. The record is from RNAcentral.